Long non-coding RNA from Cydia splendana, 1984 nucleotides. RefSeq lists it as uncharacterized. NCBI's taxonomy places the organism in Eukaryota, Metazoa, Arthropoda, Insecta, Lepidoptera, Tortricidae. The record is from RefSeq and is a predicted model, not a curated record. The transcript is spliced from 2 exons.
ACACAAGCGCUUCUUUGGCGGUGGUUCAAUUAAUCUCAGUGUAGAAGUCCGUUUUUUUGUGAUAAAUUUAUUAGAAUACUCUCAGAAUCUCAUGCUAAUCUUUUAUAUUUUACAAAACAGGUUAAUUUUAUCCUUUAUAGAGAAAACUUUGCUAAAAUCUUGGAUGUGUGAGGUCGUUUCUAUAAAGAAUGAAACUAUUAUUUAUACAAAUACCAUUAUAUUUGUCAAUCUAAAAUCACAACCUAUACAAAUCAAUACAUUUAUAUUAUUAAUCUCAUUUUCUUGUAAAUAAAUCAAACCAGUAUUAUUUUAUCAUGCUAUGAUAAUUAUUAUUAUCGACACUAAUUUUAUUUAUUAAUAAUGUUCUACGUCUAUUAUACAGCGCAAUUCAUGGGCAUUUUAUAACUGUAAAUACAUUUAUAUAUAUUGGCCUUUGACAGACAUUGUUCGAAAGACAACUCUAAUCUUGUAUCUCACUUUUAAUUACAAGACAGACUGGGAUGGGAUACCGGUCUAAGGUUUGGCUAGUUAAGUUUCUGUAUAUUUUAACGAUAAAACUGUUUUGAUACAAGCGGUAACAUACAAAUAAAAUAGAGAUACGAUUUUUUGUAGAGUGCGGAACAUGAUUGAUUUUAUAUUCAAACUUAUUAUAGUAGACAAGAUUUUUACCACAAUUUGGUAUUUUGUUACCAGCUUAUAUAUUUUGCGACGUAUCCUAUAAUCACACUAUACAAAGAGAUUAUUUAUAUAGAAAAUUAGCUAAAAACGUACAUACUUUGCUUUGUACUAUUUAUACCUAACUUAUUUAAUGUCCUUUAAUAUACAAAACUCAAUAGUAUGGUAAGCAAUUCUCUCAUUAUUAUUCUAUGUAUUUUCGUCACUUAGAGUCGAAAGUUAUUUUUUAAUUUUGAUCGUUUUCAAAAUUGUGAGAUAAUUGCUAAACGUGAAAUAAACUGACGGGCUAAAAGAGUUACAUAAUGGCAUCUAAAUAACAUAUAGAGGUAGAUUUUCGACUGCUACUUGUAGGGUCUUAGGAACUGAUUUUGUAUCUAAUUCUUUACUCAUGAAUGAACAUCUUAAAAAUGUUAUUCAUACAAUGCACUGUACCACGAGUGCAUAAAGUUCAUUUUUGAAUAACAACGACUGUGGUGCAGCUAUUCAUUGGUGAGUACUGAGAUUGAUUGCUGUGUAUAAUGUGCGACCAACUGUUUUAGACUUAAUUGCGAUAAGCGGAAGGUUGAAUUUCAAAUAGCACUAUUGAAACUAGAGUGAAAUGCUAUACAAGAAAGAAUUUACCGUAAAAUGUGGCGUCGUGAAAGAUAGCGGCUUAACUUAACCUGGCGAGUGGGGCUAAGCAUAUCUGCAGUAACUUAACCCAUUGCAAAUGUUAAGUCAUUCAAUAAUGUACCUUAUUUUAUUAGAACAAGGUGUGCAAUUGAAUGAUUUUACGAAAUUACUUGCCUACCGCAGAUAUCUGACGCCGGUCAGGCCAGGUUACGUCGCUAAUUUGGUAAAAGGCUUGGCCUUUUCGAUAAUCUAGCUAGACGCAACAUAAAUGUGUUGUUUCAUGAAAAAAGACCCUAAGGGCGAAUGGUGCUUGCGAAGCGUCACAUUUGUACUCGAACAUCCGCAACUGCCCUUAUGGUUCCUUUUCCCAUGGAACGACACAAAUGUCCUCUUAUAUAAAAUAGUUUCUAUUGCACUUUUUGCAUUAACACUAAACUUAACCGUUGGCAUAAAUGUGUAAAAACUAGUGUAUAUUUUGAUUAAGGAAGACUUUUUUUAUGAAUUCUCAACUUGUAUUAUAGCAGUAAUUUAUUAAGUAUUUAUUAAUUUUGUUUUCUGCAUUUCGGUUGUUUGUUUUAAGUUAUUUAAUUGGUAUUAUUAGUUAAGGCCUAAUCAUGGCCUACGAUUUUUGGAAUUAUGAUGAUUUACUAAAAUUAUUUGACGAUGCGAUAAUAAACAUGUAUUAAUGAAAUAAAAA